Molecule: ribosomal RNA, 467 nt
Filed under: uncultured bacterium
Lineage: Bacteria
Description: partial 16S ribosomal RNA
Rfam family: Bacterial small subunit ribosomal RNA
Source: RNAcentral
ACGAACGCUGGCGGCGUGCUUAACACAUGCAAGUCGAACGGAAAGGCCCUGCUUUUGUGGGGUGCUCGAGUGGCGAACGGGUGAGUAACACGUGAGUAACCUGCCCUUGACUUUGGGAUAACUUCAGGAAACUGGGGCUAAUACCGGAUAGGAGCUCCUGCUGCAUGGUGGGGGUUGGAAAGUUUCGGCGGUUGGGGAUGGACUCGCGGCUUAUCAGCUUGUUGGUGGGGUAGUGGCUUACCAAGGCUUUGACGGGUAGCCGGCCUGAGAGGGUGACCGGCCACAUUGGGACUGAGAUACGGCCCAGACUCCUACGGGAGGCAGCAGUGGGGAAUAUUGCACAAUGGGCGGAAGCCUGUUGCAGCAACGCCGCGUGCGGGAUGACGGCCUUCGGGUUGUAAACCGCUUUCGCCUGUGACGAAGCGUGAGUGACGGUAAUGGGUAAAGAAGCACCGGCUAACUACGUG